This is a non-coding RNA of Omnitrophica WOR_2 bacterium, 73 nucleotides long. The record is from Rfam. NCBI's taxonomy places the organism in Bacteria, Pseudomonadati, Candidatus Omnitrophota.
GGGGCUGUAGCUCAGCUGGGAGAGCGCCUGCAUCGCACGCAGGAGGUCAGGGGUUCGAUCCCCCUCAGCUCCA